AUCGGUGGACAGGUGGUGCAUGGUUGUCGUCAGCUCGUGUCGUGAGAUGUUGGGUUAAGUCCCGCAACGAGCGCAACCCCUAUUGUUAGUUGCCAUCAUUCAGUUGGGCACUCUAGCGAGACUGCCGGUAAUAAACCGGAGGAAGGUGGGGAUGACGUCAAAUCAUCAUGCCCCUUAUGACCUGGGCUACACACGUGCUACAAUGGUUGGUACAACGAGUUGCGAGUCGGUGACGGCGAGCUAAUCUCUUAAAGCCAAUCUCAGUUCGGAUUGUAGGCUGCAACUCGCCUACAUGAAGUCGGAAUCGCUAGUAAUCGCGGAUCAGCACGCCGCGGUGAAUACCGGUUCCCGGGCCUU
Molecule: ribosomal RNA, 357 nt
Filed under: uncultured Streptococcus sp.
Lineage: Bacteria; Bacillati; Bacillota; Bacilli; Lactobacillales; Streptococcaceae
Description: bacterial SSU rRNA
Rfam family: Bacterial small subunit ribosomal RNA
Source: RNAcentral